GUACUCACUUUUGCAGCACACAUUCUAAAAUUGGAAUGAUACAGAGAAAAUUAGCCUGGACCCUGCGCAAGGUUGACAUGCAAAUUCAUGACGUGUUCCACAGUUUU
Marmota marmota marmota (Alpine marmot) is the source of this 107-nucleotide small nuclear RNA. The record is from Ensembl. Lineage: Eukaryota; Metazoa; Chordata; Mammalia; Rodentia; Sciuridae.